Molecule: ribosomal RNA, 433 nt
Filed under: uncultured bacterium
Lineage: Bacteria
Description: partial 16S ribosomal RNA
Rfam family: Bacterial small subunit ribosomal RNA
Source: RNAcentral
GACGAACGCUGGCGGCGCGCUUAACACAUGCAAGUCGAGCGAAGCGGCGGACGGGUGAGUAACACGUGAGUAACCUGCCUUAAACAUUGGGAUAGCCUCUGGAAACCGGGAUUAAUACCAAAUGGUCUACGAUGGACUCUCGUCCCAUUAGCUAGUUGGUGAGGUAACGGCCCACCAAGGCGACGAUGGGUAGCCGGGGUGAGAGGGUGAACGGCAACAUUGGAACUGAGAAACGGUCCAAACUCUACGGGAGGCAGCAGUGGGGAAUCUUGCACAAUGGGCGAAAGUCUGAUGCAGCAAUGCCGCGUGAGUGAAGAAGGGUUUCGGGUUGUAAAGUACUGUUGGUGGGGAGGAGAAGGAGUAAAAGCUUGGCAAUUGACGGUAACGAAAGAGAAAGCAACGGCUAACUACGUGCCAGCAGCCGCGGUAAGUC